CUGGUAUCCCAGAAAUGGGAUACAAUGAAUCUGACGCAGCGUCAGAAGUCAGCUGAGUCGUAGUAUUUGCACUCAUAUGCAAAAAAGGAC
Molecule: non-coding RNA, 90 nt
Organism: Candidatus Kaiserbacteria bacterium
Lineage: Bacteria; Candidatus Kaiseribacteriota
Source: Rfam